Molecule: ribosomal RNA, 280 nt
Filed under: uncultured Roseburia sp.
Lineage: Bacteria; Bacillati; Bacillota; Clostridia; Lachnospirales; Lachnospiraceae
Description: partial 16S ribosomal RNA
Rfam family: Bacterial small subunit ribosomal RNA (bases 42-280)
Source: RNAcentral
UUUGAUUUCCUUCGGGACUGAUUAUUUUGUGACUGAGUGGCGGACGGGUGAGUAACGCGUGGGUAACCUGCCUUGUACAGGGGGAUAACAGUUGGAAACGGCUGCUAAUACCGCAUAAGCGCACGGCAUCGCAUGAUGCAGUGUGAAAAACUCCGGUGGUAUAAGAUGGACCCGCGUUGGAUUAGCUAGUUGGUGAGGUAACGGCCCACCAAGGCGACGAUCCAUAGCCGACCUGAGAGGGUGACCGGCCACAUUGGGACUGAGACACGGCCCAAACUCC